Molecule: long non-coding RNA, 766 nt
Organism: Pollicipes pollicipes
Lineage: Eukaryota; Metazoa; Arthropoda; Thecostraca; Pollicipedomorpha; Pollicipedidae
Exons: 5
Source: RefSeq, a predicted model, not a curated record
GGUCGGAGACCGGCUGGUGCGGCUCGGGGAGCGUUCGGCGUCACCGCGCGGCGCGCCGCCCUCCAUGGCGCCGCUCCGCCGACGCAUGGUCGUCGCCCAGCAGAUACAGACCAAGCCCAGGGACCAGAUGACGGCCAGCAGCGUGCACGAGCAGUUCAUGCAGGCCUGCAUCCGUCUGAACGACCUAGGUUCCGCGAGGUGAUGAUCGUGGCCGGGCGGAUCGCGUCCAGCGCAACCAUCAACCAGACGGACGGCAGCGGACGGACACCGCUGAGUCACCUGUGUAUCCAUGGCAACGGCCGGUGUGUGGAGGAGUUCUCCCGGCUGCCUUACGUGGAUGCGAACCUGGCGGACAGGGACGGCAACACUCCCUUGCACUACGCUGCUCAGGCUGGACACGCUGCAGUCGUCACAGCGCUGCUGGAGAACUAUGUGGAGAUCGAAGUGGAUGCUAAGAACGGCCAGGGAAUUACUCCUCUCAUCAAGGCCUGUGUUCAAGGAAAAAGCAAAUGCGCCUAAACUACUUCUCGCACAUGGCGCCGACCCACUGAUCCAGGACCCAGGCCGCGGCCUCACCUGCAUCGAGUGGGCCUACUUCUGCGGGCGGCACGCGUGCGCGCGCCUGGUGGAGGCUCACCUGCUCGCCAGCGACGUCAGCGCCCCUAGUAGCGGACAGCUGAAGCGCGUCAGCAGCGAGCCCGAGCUGCCGCCAGCCGGCGGGCCGCUAGGGUGGCGGCGCGCGAAGUACCAGCGGGUGCUGGGUCAC